GUCCCCGUAGCUCAGCUGGAUAGAGCGUGAGAUUCCGGAUCUCAAGGCCAGAGGUUCAAGUCCUCUCGGGGACGCCA
This 77-nucleotide transfer RNA is filed under the name Candidatus Kerfeldbacteria bacterium CG_4_10_14_0_8_um_filter_42_10. Its description in RNAcentral is "tRNA-Arg". It matches the Rfam family "tRNA". From Rfam's summary of the family: Transfer RNA (tRNA) molecules are approximately 80 nucleotides in length. The record is from RNAcentral. Lineage: Bacteria; Candidatus Kerfeldiibacteriota.